GAAAAGUGGCUUGAAGUUAGUGUUCUGCUUCCAAAGCUGAAAGCCAAACCUACUCCUGUCAUGUCUUAGAACAGCCUGGGGGAUGCACUAAACAAUUCUGGCUUUGUGCCUGCUAAUGAUUCAUGUAAGCAUUCUUAUCACAAAGGGACUUCAGCAGAAGCCAAAGAUCAGACCUUAUUUGUGUAUCUGUGUGAGUGAUAGCAGAAGGGAACGAAGCAAUUCUUCAUCUUCUUUUUCUAUAGAUUAUGUGUUUUGCUAUGCAUAUCACAAGCAUGCCAUUAAUUUGAAGACAUAUCUUCAAAACUUCUGCCAGUACUUGGGGAACUCUAUUUUAUCUUUCUGUCAAGAGAGAUAGAGAGAUGAGAACAGACAUCAUAGUAAAGAAAAGGAACAGAAGAACAUGGGUAGAUUACAUGACCAUAGCCUCACAUGAUGAUCAAAUGGGAAAAGUUACCUUAAUCUCUGCAAAACCAUUCAAACAAAGGAGCCGUCAUAAUAUGAGUGAGAACCUGCCUACCUAAUAUCCUGUUUCUGAUGAUCAGUCAUAUCAGUUGCUUAAAAGAAAAUAUGGAAAUCUGAUUUAUAACUGUGGAAGAUUGACCCAGAGAAGUUUCGCCCUAAUCCAUAGCAGUUACAUUUUUGCUUAGCCUUCUAAAAUUUUUUUGGGACAUUGAUAGCUACAGUAACUCAAUCUAUAUAAAUAUCUGCUCACUGUUUCCUGUUAGAGAAUAAGAACGUGAAAUACUUAUGAGAAAAUCCUGAAGUGAAACAGAAGACCUUGACUCCCCCAAGUCUCAUGGAAAAUGACAGUGGUGUUCCUUAUAAUAUAUGGGAGAUUGUGACAUCUCUAGCUCUGGGCAACAGAUUCUGAGAAAGAGUGAAUAUAUCCUGCACCUGGAGAAGAAAUAGAUAAGAAACUGGGAAAGAACUAAGGAAGAAGAGACAGAACUACAAACCCAGAGAGUUCAAGGCAUGUAUCUGUAUCUCAUACUGCUUCAAUUGAUUCAGUACAAGCUGAAAACUCGAAGAGUUGGGUAAAACUCCUCUUCCUCUACAGCUAGUACUUGUCUACCAGAGAUGAGUAUGAUUGAGAGAGCAGCUGUUUGUAUCAUUCUGAACAAAUACUGAAGUGCAAGACCCAGCAAAGGACAUCAUCUGCAAUUCUGCAAAACUGACUGCGGUUGCUCUAAAACACCAGAAACCACCAGAUGGACAACACAAUCUGCUAAGCCACUAAGGGAUUUCAAAUAGAACUAUCCCUCUGUCAAACUGUCCAGACACUUUGGUGUACCUGCCCAGGACCUGGUGAAGAAUGGGCCCUAUCUACACUAAAGGUAAAGAUCUAAUGCAUCAAAGCAGAGACACCUGAGCUAACUGAAGGAGGAUGUUGAGACACCUGCACUGAUCACGCUGAAUGGGAUGGCUGAAACACAGGAUCUCCCAGCCCAAGAAGGACAUGGAUGUGUUAGAAUGUGGAUGUGGAGCACCUCUCUUAUGAAGACAGUCUGAGAGAGCUGGGUUUGUUCAGCAUGGAGAAGAGGACUCUGGGGAGAUCGUAAGGCCUUCCAGUACUUAAAGAGGGCCUACAGAAAGGCUGGAAAGUGACUCUUUGUCAAGGAAUACAGUGAUAGAGCAAGGGGCUUAAGAGAUGCAGCAUCAAGACCACUGGAUUUAGAAAUUGUUGGAAGACACUAAAGAGAACCGAUUGCACUUAUGGAUUGCUUAUGAUUUGGAAGAGAAAGUGAAUGCUUGAGUGCUUUACUCCAGUUCACACCUCACCCAGAUUUCUUUAUGUCCAAAUAAUGUUUGGGUCCUAGGAAGAGCUGCAUAAAACAAAGGUGCCAGUCCAGGCUUUAAGCAGUGAAGUGGCACUUAAAAUUAGAGCUUUUGAGUGCAGUGUGUAAAAGUCCGGCCAAAUGGGGGAAUCUCUGAAAUUGUGACUCUGAUUGAAAGAUCUUUACAUAUACCUAGGUAUUCACCUCCACUUGCUGCCACACAAAAUCUUUCGAUGGAUUAGGCACACAACUAGAAUAUCAUCUAUUAUAAUGUUAUAAUGUCAUCCAUUCUUUUGCAGCACUGCAUCUGCUAAUUUCCCUUUCCCCACCUCGUUUUCACCUUUUAACCUAAAUAUCUGUUCCCACAGUUCCAAUCUUGUUUUCUUGUUUCUGUGAGCCAUGCAAAUAAAUCCAUCUGACCUGCAUAAUGUAUUGUUUGGUUCAUAAAUGUAUUCUUGUAUCUGAACCUUGUGUUUUACAAAUUUGUGUCUGUACUAUCCCAAAACAACAUCAUAUUGCACAUUAUGUAUAACAAUGAGCAUUGAUAUGUGCAUACUUUUUUUCCUUUUCUUUUCUUUUCUUUAUUUUUUUUCCCCCUGUAGCAGAUACACUUGAGGAGAACACUAAAUCUCUGUGGCAGCCCUUAGCCUGUAACACAAACACAUUUAUUUUGCUACAGAAAACAGCAGUAGCAACAGAAAGCCACCAGAUAUUGGAGAUGAAUAAAAAUAUAUUAAAUGGCCAUGACUCUUUCAUAACGUAAUUUAACCUCUCUGAGGAAUUUAAUUAAUUUUUCUUUCUGCAAUUCUGAGAAAAGAUAUAUUGUGCAUAUGAAAGAGUUCAUUUUCAUUUGAGGAUACAGGAUGCACUUUUCUUGCUAAAAGGAACAUAAAAUUUGCCUGUGAGAUUAUAAAAAUAAGAAUGAAAAAAACAGCAACAUUGAAAUGUCUUCUAGAAAAAUUCAGAGAAUUCUGUCUUCAGAUUUUAACUGCAAUCCCUAUAAAAAUAAUUAGUGUUCUACACAAAACUUCUCAUGAGGCUUAAGGGUCCUCACUCUUUCUUUAUUAUUCCUCAGUAAAAGCUGCAAUAUGGAGGUUUUUUUUUUUUAACUUGUUGUGGACCAACCCUUUUAUGGGCAGGGGUCCUCUGCCUUCAAAAUUUGCAGCAUAUACAGGUAUAACAUUGUGUGAAAUGUGCUCAGAAUACAGGUAUAGAUGAGUCAGUGAUCGAUGAAAAUAAAAUCAAAGUUUUCCAUCCCAGUUUCAACUAUUACAUGCACAAUUUGUUCUUCUUCUUUCAGGAAUGAAAUAUUAAAGAAUCAGAACAAGACCAAAAAAAUACAGAAGUGACCCUCUCUCUUGUAUUUAGAAGCUCUGUGCUGCUUUUUGCAGGUAUUUUCCCCUUGUUUGCAGAAGCCAGUAUAAAUGAACCAUUGAAGUUCAAUAUAGUGAAAAACUACAGACUUAAUGGUAGAUUUACAGAGUUUUUCAUAUUUCCAGAGUUAUCCUCAACCAAACACAGAGAAUACACAUAUACAUAACCUUGCCUUCUGCUUAUCUGCUCAAAGUACUUGUUUUGCACCCACCUUCAAAUUCAGGCAAAUUUCUGUUUGUUCUACUCUUCAGCACAUAGUUAAAUGAACUAGUGAUAUAGUUUUAGACAAGGAGUUUUGUCCUGGACUAGGGUCUUUCAAACUAGAGCUGAUAGCUAGCCCCCAAAUCAGAGUUUAGCAUAUCACAGCUGCAACACUGAUGAAGCACCAGCUAAUCAGGAUGAAGUAGAAAAAAAUAUGUUGUCAUGAACUUCCUAAAAAUCAAGCUAAUAAAGGGAAAAACAGAAACAUUCAAACAUUCUUGAAAUUGAAAUUCAAGAACAAUAACAGCAAUAAUCCAGACUGAAACUCUGGCAACUUGAACCUGAUUGUGUCAGUUUACUCUAUUCUAUUUUCCCAGGCUUUCAUUUCCUUUUGUUUGCUUUUGGUUUCCCUCCCACAUCAACUCUUUGCUUUGUUAAUUUCAGAAUAAUCCUAUUUUUGGUAACACAAAUUUCCUUUUAAUAUAAACCAUUUUUAGAUAAGGUUGUUGCCUUGUAAAACCAUAAAUCAAGAUUUUAUGCAUAUAGAUUUGAAAAUCUCCCAUUACAUAAUGUAACAAAAUGUUACAUUACAUUUUGUGUUUCUUUUACCACAUAAGGAACAAAAGAGCAAAUGCAUGCAAAUAUAAGGCAGAAGAAAAAUAGAGGCAGAAGGUAUAGACAUUUUUCCCUUCUGAAUGUUCUGUACAUUUGCAACUUAGAAAUACUAAAAUUUGCCACCAAUUUCAUGGGAAGGGCUGUCUAAAUGGUGAUUUGUUUAAAACCUGUAGCCUCCCAGGUUCUCUAACCAUCUUGACUUAAAGUGAGAGCAGUAUCUGCAUAUUGCCUAUAUCUGCAAUUAAGAAUCAGUUCUGUAGUCAAUACAAUUCACUAUGCAUUGACUGGUAAGUUCUGCUGUAUUGUUUAUAACAGCAUUAGAACUCAAGUCAAGUUUUCUUUUACUCCAGAUCUGGAGCUUAACACAAUGGGUCUUAAUUUUUCAACCUGCAGUUCUAUAUUAGGCUGGCAAUGCAUACCCAACUCAAACUGUCUCUAGAACAGCUUUUGUUUUCUGAAUACACUGGUGAAAAUCUAGACUAGUUGAAUAGUGGAGUAGUGCUUUUCCUCAUAUUAUCAUCAGAGGGCUGGAACACCUCUCCUAUGAAGAAAGGCUGAGAGGGUUGGAAUUGUUCAGCCUGAAGAGAAUUAUCCAGGGAGACAUUACUGGGCCUUUCAAUGUAUAAAAGGGGCCAGGUCUAUAAGAAAGAUGGAGAAGGAUUUUUUUAUCAGGACCUGUAGUGGCAGGACAAGGGGCAAUAGCUGUAAACUGAAAGACAGAAAAUUUAGAUUGGACAUAAGGAAGAAUUUUUUUUUUUCAUUAUAAUUCUACGUAUAAUUCUAUGACAUACAGAGAAUUUGUGUUUUCUGCAGCACAGAAAUUGGCAUAUAUUUUAUAGCUGAUAAUAUUAAAAGAGUUUAGGGUAAACCCCAAACAACAGAAGAAACACUAAAUGUGUAGAAUUUCAAAAUUUUACAGCAUAAAUAUGAUAGUUGUGAAUAACAUGGAAUUCAUGGUAUGUUCACCACGAAGCCCAAGAGCACUCUAUGCUGUACAUAUUAGUGAUCUCUGAAUUUUGUUGUGCUUUGUUCAAGAAAGGCCUGCUUUCAGCUGAGAGGAAAUGGAAAGUCACUUACGCUGAAUUGCUGUGGUCCUGAUGUGAUCUAAAGUUUAAUACCCUCUCAGACCACAUAAAUGUUGCUUGUAGGAAGUGAAACUUGUGGUAAUAAAAAUGACAAGUUAAUGUGUUUUUCUGCUGAAGUCACAAGUAGAAAUUACUUCAAUGAUCUCAUCGUAGUCCCAGAUGGAUGUUUGUCUCCAUCAGAAACAAUUUUGGUUUGGCUUGUUUUGAAAAUUCUGUGAAGACAACAACCAAGGCAGAACAGCCGGCAUUUAAUGAUUGAGAUGUUCUUUUGAUUAAAAUUUGUGACAGCAUAAUAUUGUAUAGAACACAAUUCUUCCAAAGAAAGACAGAAAGAACUUUUAAAAUAACUUAAUCUCAUUGUUUCUCUUUGUCACGCAUACAUUUGUUUAAUUUAAAUCCAUGUGAUACGUACUGUCUGUUGGCUUAAAUUAGUGAAAGUCAGUUAGCGUAGAACAAUUUAGCUUCACUGACAUCUGUAAAGCUGCACAAACAGUAUACCAACUGACAGUGUGGGCAACAAUAUGAAUUAGUCUUAGAAAAAAAUGGCAUCUUUGUAGUAAAGACAGUGAAAUACAUUACCAUUAGUAUAAUUUCUCAUUAAAGAUCCAGUCUUGUGCAACCAGUAUGUGGGACUGUUGACAAUACAUGUAUUUUUAGUGGAUCUGACAUUAAAUCUUGUGUGGUCAGGCAACUCUCCAGCUGAAAUCCCUGUGCAUGGCUGUGCAGCGUGAGGGGUGUCUGGUGGGUGAGACUUGUGCUCCUACUGGUUUUGCUGCAUGGCUUCCCAGUUGAGUUUCUGCAUCUCCUUCCAUUGUUCCCCAUAAUCCUGUCUGCAAUGAAGACAGCAGCCCUGGAAGAUAAUGAUUAGAUUUUUAUUUAUUUAUUUAUUAUCAAAAAGAUUUUGUGUCAGGUUUCUUCUCCAUAUUGUACCAAAGCCAAAUUCAAACCUUGGCAGUAUGCAAUAUUUACAAUGGUGUGAAUUUAGUGGAAGCAUGUAUAAAUACACACACUUACUGAGGGCACAGCUUAAAACCCUGGCACUUUUUUUUUUUGCCAUCCAACAGAGAAAGUCAUGAGAGGAAUCAAAUGGCUGUCAAAGCAGAUGUCAUACUGAAACACAUCUUCUGUAUUCAACUAUUAACUGUAAAUGUCUCCAUUGAUCAUAUUAGAUUUAAGACUAUGCUCACAAAGAAAAAUGCGUCUCUGAAUUAUUACUGUUUAAUUUUUACCUGGAACAGUUUUCUUAUAUUAACACAACACCAUAGAAAUCUUCCAAAAUGGCACACCAACCAGUAAAGUUCCAACAUGUGUUUACCUCCAGAAAGCUACAACUAAGCUAUAUAAAUAAUAUAUUUUUUCCCUGAACCCUAAGAGUUUUGGGGAUGAUAAAUGGCAUGUGUGCUACACAUACAAAUCUUAAAUGCCUAAUUUAAAAUAAAGUAUUGGCCUUGUUUUCUUCUGGCAAAGGAAAAGCUCUGGGAUAGAGAGGAAAAGGCUACACACUGCUGCUACUACUACUGCUACUGCUGCUGCUGCCACUACUACUUCUACUACAGCUACUACUAUUAAUAGUAUUAAUAGCAAGGAUGUUUCUGAAAUAGCAAUUAUCAUGCCCAUCUUAAAUAGUACUGGCUGUAAUGUGACCCAAGUACAGUGAGAAGACUGGUGUGUGAAUAUUGUGAGGAAGUUACUAUGACGAGAAAUUGUUAGAAAAAUGCUAAUAGCAUAGAUAUAAGAAUAGGGACUUUCUAUUUCUCAUUUUAGCUUGUGAUCUCAGUUUGUGAUCUCAGUUUAUAUUAAAAUCUAUAUCCUAGUUUGAGUAAAUUGUAGUAUGUAAUUUAGAGCUAAAGAGUUGCUAUAUGAGGGGAGACAUGAAAGUAGAGGUUGACAGUUUGUUAGCUGACAUGGCUUAAAUGAAAACAUUAGCAGAUAAGGUAUAAAACAUCAAAAUAUAUAUGCAUUAGAAUGCUUAGAGAUAAAUCUUCCUGAGGAUUUAGUUAGAGAACUCUUCAAAAGAGGAGUCUUAUUGCACAUCUCAAAUGUGCAAUAUCCAUCUUGUUUUUAUUAAACAAUUUGGAUUCUGACUAUGAUUAAAAAGUAUCAGUAUGUGUUUUCUGGAAUGGUAUUUUUAAG
This is a non-coding RNA of Anas platyrhynchos (mallard), 7183 nucleotides long. The record is from RefSeq and is a predicted model, not a curated record. Lineage: Eukaryota; Metazoa; Chordata; Aves; Anseriformes; Anatidae.